GCCGGCGUGGCGGAAUGGCAGACGCGUCAGACUCAAAAUCUGAUAUCCGCAAGGGUGUGUGGGUUCAAGUCCCUCCGCCGGUA
RNAcentral lists this transfer RNA (83 nucleotides) under Elusimicrobiota bacterium. Its description in RNAcentral is "Elusimicrobia bacterium (rhizosphere metagenome) tRNA-Leu". It matches the Rfam family "tRNA". From Rfam's summary of the family: Transfer RNA (tRNA) molecules are approximately 80 nucleotides in length. Their secondary structure includes four short double-helical elements and three loops (D, anti-codon, and T loops). Lineage: Bacteria; Pseudomonadati; Elusimicrobiota. The record is from RNAcentral.